CCCUCAUCCAUCCAGUCUUCCUCCUCGUAGUCCCACCAAGAGUCUGUCAACUCCAAAAAACAAUAGCCCCAACACUCAACCUGCUAUCCGCCCAAUCCAGACCCCCAAAAAAGGCACAGACAAAACAACAUCCAUCUUGCUCAUUGGACACCUUCCAAGCAUCUACAAAUUCUGAAGAGCAAAGUAAAUACUAAAUAGUGUGACAACAUAUGACUCAUUUGCCAUAGCUCAGAAUUUUUCUUUGUGCUAAUUUUCCUAGUGAUAAAUUAUAUAUGGGAGGGCAAGAAACAACAUCUGUUGUGGAGCAAGAUGGGCCCCUAUAAACUAUACACAAAUAACAUAAUGGAUCUGGCACCGGGCAAACAGCUAGAAAGUUGUAAAUGCUUAUCGACACAACACUGCAGACCAAUUAAAUAUGUCAGGAGAGAAAAAGGCAUAUUUAAUAGAUUCCUGUCAGAUGACAUCAAUCUGGAAAGGAAGACAAAAAGGCUUGAAAAAGUUUUAGCUGGAUCCAUCCAUGUAUGAUGUGCUUUUUGGGGUAGUUUGUGUAAACAACCAUUGGACAUUUAUAGCAAUGUACCCAAAGAUGGGAAAGUGCAUAUAUAUUGACCCUUUUUGUGCCAAACAAACAGCAAUCGGCCAAAGCAAUGAUGUGACAAGGCAAGUAUGUGAAGUCUGUUGAACUGAGAGGGAGGUAUCUGUCAUUCUAUAACAUGCUGUUGUUGAAUUGUAGCCUGACAGGUGAACUUUCUGUUUCAUAGAUCUUUCAUGAGGAUGAGGGAUCUGCACAUUUCAAAGUGGGGAUGCUACACAAUUGUGCAUCCCACUCAGCAGGAGACCGCAUCCUGUGGUGCAUUUGUUUGCAAACAUUUCUUCUGGAGGAAGAAAUGAAUUUUUCUGCAGAUGAACCAGGCAUUGUUGUGAUGCGCAAAGACAUUACUACAAGGCUUUUGAGAGAAACUGAUGACCUUUCAGAACUGUGCCGUUAUUGUGGAGAGCUACAUACAUACAAAGGCCAAACUGACCAAUGGAAUAUGGAAGAUGGUUCCACUGGGACUGUGUGGGCAGACCCUCCACAGCUGGCAAAUACAGUUGCCCAGCA
Molecule: long non-coding RNA, 1102 nt
Organism: Myxocyprinus asiaticus (Chinese sucker)
Lineage: Eukaryota; Metazoa; Chordata; Actinopteri; Cypriniformes; Catostomidae
Exons: 7
Source: RefSeq, a predicted model, not a curated record